This 468-nucleotide ribosomal RNA is filed under the name uncultured bacterium. RNAcentral's name for it is "partial 16S ribosomal RNA". It matches the Rfam family "Bacterial small subunit ribosomal RNA", at positions 28 to 507 of the family's 1533-position model. The record is from RNAcentral.
GACGAACGCUGGCGGCGUGCUUAACACAUGCAAGUCGAACGGAAAGGCCCUGCUUUUGUGGGGUGCUCGAGUGGGGAACGGGUGAGUAACACGUGAGUAACCUGCCCUUGACUUUGGGAUAACUUCAGGAAACUGGGGCUAAUACCGGAUAGGAGCUCCUACUGCAUGGUGGGGGUUGGAAAGUUUCGGCGGUUGGGGAUGGACUCGCGGCUUAUCAGCUUGUUGGUGGGGUAGUGGCUUACCAAGGCUUUGACGGGUAGCCGGCCUGAGAGGGUGACCGGCCACAUUGGGACUGAGAUACGGCCCAGACUCCUACGGGAGGCAGCAGUGGGGAAUAUUGCACAAUGGGCGGAAGCCUGAUGCAGCAACGCCGCGUGCGGGAUGACGGCCUUCGGGUUGUAAACCGCUUUCGCCUGUGACGAAGCGUGAGUGACGGUAAUGGGUAAAGAAGCACCGGCUAACUACGUG